RNAcentral lists this ribosomal RNA (451 nucleotides) under uncultured bacterium. RNAcentral describes it as "bacterial SSU rRNA". It matches the Rfam family "Bacterial small subunit ribosomal RNA", at positions 354 to 796 of the family's 1533-position model. The record is from RNAcentral.
GUGGGGAAUAUUGCGCAAUGGCCGAAAGGCUGACGCAGCGACGCCGCGUGUGGGAGGAAGCCCUUCGGGGUGUAAACCACUGUCGGGGGGGACGAAUCCCGGACGGGCAAAUAGCCCGGACGGUUGACGGUACCUCCAGAGGAAGCACCGGCUAACUCCGUGCCAGCAGCCGCGGUAAGACGGAGGGUGCAAGCGUUGUUCGGAAUUACUGGGCGUAAAGCGCGGGCAGGUGGCCUUUUAAGUCCUUUGUGAAAUUUCGGAGCUCAACUCCGGACAUGCAUAGGAUACUGGAAGGCUAGAGACUGGUAGAGGCGAGCGGAAUUCCUGGUGUAGCGGUGGAAUGCGUAGAUAUCAGGAAGAACACCGGUGGCGAAGGCGGCUCGCUGGGCCAGUUCUGACACUCAUCCGCGAAAGCGUGGGGAGCAAACAGGAUUAGAAACCCUUGUAGUCC